CCUCCCUCACUGUUCCUCCCUCAAAUCGCCGACUCCUUCCUCACUCUCACCUCGUUGUCACCGACCCAGCUCACCACCGGUUUUCAAGACUCAACCAAGCGCCACCCCACGUGGGCAAUCCCUCUGAGGGCAUCGCGAUAGGAAGUGGAAGCUUGCGACCUCCGCACCGGUGGCACGUAAUUGGUGGGUGAGGGCUUCCGGCAGGAAAGGAAAGUGACAGUACGGGAUGAGUGUCCCGGGAUGAGCUCCGGGGAGGACCCUUCCAAACAUGACUGAUAAUGUGAUUUAUGUUAACUUCGGCUAUAUGACUGCAUGUUCUCCUAGGAGGUACCUCUAGGGUCAUGAUUAUGAACUAAAUGACUGGCUCAAAUGGUGGUUACUACAUGUGAGGGAGACACCUCUCAAGAAGUUAUGGAAGACAUGCAUGUUGAGUAGGCGAGGAGACGGGAUGGAACCAUGACACAUUGUCCAAGGAUUUCUAGGAGUUGGUGAGGACAUGGGUUUCUUGUUGUGCAGAUUUUGUCAUGAGGUUAUGUGUUUGUGGUUCUCUUUACUGUUGCUAGCACUUGUUAAUAACAGCUCUAUUGAGCUUUGAAUCUACACUUUUGCUUGGAAAUUGUGGUUGAAUGUGAUGCA
Molecule: long non-coding RNA, 636 nt
Organism: Zingiber officinale
Lineage: Eukaryota; Viridiplantae; Streptophyta; Magnoliopsida; Zingiberales; Zingiberaceae
Exons: 3
Source: RefSeq, a predicted model, not a curated record